CUAUGCAAAGGAUUUAGAAAGUAACAAAUUUAGAUGUUAGAUUCUUAUUUCAUAGAAUCAUAGAGUCCUAGAGUUGGAAUAGACCACAGGGGCCAUUGAGUCCAGCCCCCUGCCAGAAAUGAGACGCCAAUCGAGCACUCCUGAUAUAUAAGUUGUCAGAUAUUUGUUUAGAAACCUUCAAAUGAAGGAGAUCUUUCAAUAUUGAUGUGAAACUCAAGAUCCUUGACAUAUGUUUAAGAUAAAAAUUUAAGAUUAACCAUUUGUUUUAGAAGGCAAUAGGGCAAGGAGGGCAAGAGGUGAGCUGGUAAUUAAGAUUCCAUGUAAGAUAUAUUAUUACUUAUUUGUCAUUUAUAUAUAGCUCUUUGUCUCCCUUAUAAGGACAGGAGGAUAUGAGUGUAUUUUUGUGAUUGGUUAUACCAAUCAGCCAAUAGGAAUUUCAACCAGGCUGAUGGGACAGAGGCAGCACAGGAGGAGCAAAAGGGGCUGGAUUAAGGGAAUAUAAGUGCUGGCCAUAAUGGCAGGAAGCCAGGCCAGAGCUUGGUGGGCCCUCGAGCGCACGCCGUGCAGCAUUGCCUGCCGAUUCAUCAGCUCCAGGCUGGCAUAGCAUAUGGGUGAAAGAGUGGAAACGUGAUCCACUUGCACGUAAGUGGCGUGGACCUUACACCGUCUUGCUCUCUACUCUAACAGCGGUGAAGGUAGCUGAGGUGACCCCCUGGAUUCAUCACUCCCGUUUGAAGAAGUCCGAAGGCAGUUGGACGUGCAAAGGUGACCCCUCUAAUCCUCUUAAACUGACUCUCUCCAAAAACCCCUGUAUCUAGCCCUACGGGGAAUGGGCUAGGUCACGGGCAACAUUAGACAACCGGCCUGCUGCAGCCACAACUUGGAAGCUGGCUGACCUGCGCACGCCUGAAGCUUGAGGAGCGUCUGAACCAGCGACUGUGAGCGGGAAGAUUCUCUUAUACAAUUGAUUGACUGCCCCCUUGUGGAACAAUUAUCAGAGAUAUUACAC
This 1009-nucleotide long non-coding RNA is filed under the name Podarcis muralis (Common wall lizard). RNAcentral's name for it is "lncRNA (ENSPMRG00000005575.1)". Lineage: Eukaryota; Metazoa; Chordata; Lepidosauria; Squamata; Lacertidae. The record is from RNAcentral.